Molecule: long non-coding RNA, 565 nt
Organism: Gossypium arboreum
Lineage: Eukaryota; Viridiplantae; Streptophyta; Magnoliopsida; Malvales; Malvaceae
Exons: 3
Source: RefSeq, a predicted model, not a curated record
UCACGAAAGUCUCUUCCCUUUUCAUUUUUUGUCAUUCAAAAAAUUUCCCUAAACACAAAUCCACAUAUUUUCUCUCUAAAUAGCCUAACCCUUGUGAUUUUUUCAUCUCCCAAACACCAAAAUAUCUUUCAAUUUUAAAGAAAAUCGUAAAAAAAAACACUAAUUUCUUUAUUAAUUUUCUAAACGAUUUUCUCAAAAUUCAAUCUCCCGUUCAUUUUUCUUCUUGGUCGAGUCUUGGAUCGUUGGAGCCUUCUUCAAGUAAAGCGAAAGGCAAGAUGAAACUCGUUUAAGCUUUCGACAACCAAGCGAAAGCUAGAUUGAAAAGUAGCACAUUGGGGGAGUGGGAAGCGGCCAAGAAAGUGAUCCAUUCAAGGCAUAGAAUUUGAGUAUGUUUUUGUAAUUUGAACAAUUGAAAAUAAAGGAAAGAUCUUAUGUGAGACUAGAUUUUUGAAUUGUUAUUAUGGAUUUGGAGCUUGAUUUUAGUUUGUUUUGAAGAUUGGUGAAUGAUAUGGAUGUUACUCAACAUGUUCAUUUAAUAUGCUUAUGCUAAAAGAGUUUAUUAAAA